This 497-nucleotide ribosomal RNA is filed under the name uncultured bacterium. Its description in RNAcentral is "partial 16S ribosomal RNA". It matches the Rfam family "Bacterial small subunit ribosomal RNA", at positions 28 to 507 of the family's 1533-position model. The record is from RNAcentral.
GAUGAACGCUGGCGGCGUGCCUAAUACAUGCAAGUCGAGCGAACAGACGAGGAGCUUGCUCCUCUGACGUUAGCGGCGGACGGGUGAGUAACACGUGGAUAACCUACCUAUAAGACUGGGAUAACUUCGGGAAACCGGAGCUAAUACCGGAUAAUAUGUUGAAUCGCAUGGUUCAACAGUGAAAGACGGUCUUGCUGUCACUUAUAGAUGGAUCCGCGCCGCAUUAGCUAGUUGGUAAGGUAACGGCUUACCAAGGCAACGAUGCGUAGCCGACCUGAGAGGGUGAUCGGCCACACUGGAACUGAGACACGGUCCAGACUCCUACGGGAGGCAGCAGUAGGGAAUCUUCCGCAAUGGGCGAAAGCCUGACGGAGCAACGCCGCGUGAGUGAAGAAGGUCUUCGGAUCGUAAAACUCUGUUAUUAGGGAAGAACAAAUGUGUAAGUAACUAUGCACGUCUUGACGGUACCUAAUCAGAAAGGCACGGCUAACUACGUG